This 508-nucleotide ribosomal RNA is filed under the name uncultured bacterium. Its description in RNAcentral is "bacterial SSU rRNA". It matches the Rfam family "Bacterial small subunit ribosomal RNA", at positions 20 to 518 of the family's 1533-position model. The record is from RNAcentral.
UGGCUCAGAACGAACGCUGGCGGCGCGUUUAAGCAUGCAAGUCGAGCGGCAAGGGCCUUCGGGCCCCUAGAGCGGCGGACGGGUGAGUAACACGUGGACAAUCUGCCCCCCGGCCCGGGAUAGCCCAGGGAAACCUGGAUUAAUACCGGAUGAGACGGGACCCGCGAAGGCGGGACCCGGGAAAGGCGCUGCGGCGCCGCCGGGGGAUGAGUCUGCGUCCCAUUAGCUAGACGGCGGGGUAACGGCCCACCGUGGCGACGAUGGGUAGCCGGCCUGAGAGGGUGGACGGCCACAUUGGAACUGAGACACGGUCCAGACUCCUACGGGAGGCAGCAGCUAAGAAUCUUCCGCAAUGGGCGAAAGCCUGACGGAGCGACGCCGCCGUGAACGAAGAAGGCCGUGAGGUUGUAAAGUCCUUUUCGGGAGGGGGAACAACCGUGGCAGGGAAUGGCCGCGGGAUGACGUGAAUCCCGGAAUAAGCCCCGGCUAACUACGUGCCAGCAGCAGC